GGAGGGAUGGCACAGUUGGAGUGCAUUGCUCCUGCCGGAAGGUCAUCGGUUCAAAUCCGGCUCCCUCCA
Molecule: non-coding RNA, 69 nt
Organism: Thermochaetoides thermophila DSM 1495
Lineage: Eukaryota; Fungi; Ascomycota; Sordariomycetes; Sordariales; Chaetomiaceae
Source: the annotation of a RefSeq genome assembly